This 250-nucleotide ribosomal RNA is filed under the name uncultured bacterium. RNAcentral's name for it is "partial 16S ribosomal RNA". It matches the Rfam family "Bacterial small subunit ribosomal RNA", at positions 524 to 773 of the family's 1533-position model. The record is from RNAcentral.
UACGGAGGGUGCAAGCGUUGUUCGGAAUUAUUGGGCGUAAAGCGCGUGUAGGCGGCUAUUUAAGUCUGAUGUGAAAGCCCGGGGCUCAACCCCGGAAGUGCAUUGGAAACUGGCGAUCUUGGAACCGGGAGAGGGUAGUGGAAUUUCGAGUGUAGGGGUGAAAUCCGUAGAUAUUCGAAGGAACACCGGUGGCGAAGGCGGCUACCUGGACCGAUACUGACGCUGAGACGCGAAAGCGUGGGGAGCAAAC